This 85-nucleotide transfer RNA is filed under the name Felis catus (domestic cat). It matches the Rfam family "tRNA". From Rfam's summary of the family: Transfer RNA (tRNA) molecules are approximately 80 nucleotides in length. Their secondary structure includes four short double-helical elements and three loops (D, anti-codon, and T loops). Lineage: Eukaryota; Metazoa; Chordata; Mammalia; Carnivora; Felidae. The record is from Rfam by way of RNAcentral.
GCCUGGGUGGCUCAGUCGGUUAAGCGUCUGACUUCGGCUCAGGUCAUGAUCUCGCGGUUCGUGGGUUCGAGCCCCACGUCGGGCU